This 451-nucleotide ribosomal RNA is filed under the name uncultured bacterium. Its description in RNAcentral is "bacterial SSU rRNA". It matches the Rfam family "Bacterial small subunit ribosomal RNA", at positions 34 to 507 of the family's 1533-position model. The record is from RNAcentral.
CGCUGGCGGCAUGCCUAACACAUGCAAGUCGAACGAGACCUUCGGGUCUAGUGGCGCACGGGUGCGUAACGCGUGGAAUCUGCCCUUUGCUUCGGAAUAACAGUUAGAAAUGACUGCUAAUACCGGAUGAUGUCUUCGGACCAAAGAUUUAUCGCCCAAGGAUGAGCCCGCGUAAGAUUAGCUAGUUGGUGAGGUAAAGGCUCACCAAGGCGACGAUCUUUAGCUGGUCUGAGAGGAUGAUCAGCCACACUGGGACUGAGACACGGCCCAGACUCCUACGGGAGGCAGCAGUGGGGAAUAUUGGACAAUGGGCGCAAGCCUGAUCCAGCAAUGCCGCGUGCAGGAUGAAGGCCUUCGGGUUGUAAACUGCUUUUGUACGGAACGAAACGGUGAGCUCUAAUACAGUUUGCUAAUGACGGUACCGUAAGAAUAAGCACCGGCUAACUACGUG